This 403-nucleotide ribosomal RNA is filed under the name Verrucomicrobiota bacterium. Its description in RNAcentral is "Verrucomicrobia bacterium partial 16S ribosomal RNA". It matches the Rfam family "Bacterial small subunit ribosomal RNA", at positions 355 to 776 of the family's 1533-position model. The record is from RNAcentral. Lineage: Bacteria; Pseudomonadati; Verrucomicrobiota.
UGGGGAAUUUUGCACAAUGGGGGAAACCCUGAUGCAGCGACGCCGCGUGAUUUAGAAGGCCUUCGGGUUGUAAAAAUCUUUUGUAUGGGAAGAAAAUGACAGUACCAUACGAAUAAGGACCGGCUAAUUACGUGCCAGCAGCCGCGGUAAUACGUAGGUGGCAAGCGUUGUCCGGAAUUAUUGGGCGUAAAGCGCGCGCAGGUGGUUUAGAAAGUCUGAUGUGAAAGCCCACGGCUCAACCGUGGAGGGUCAUUGGAAACUAAUAAACUUGAGUGCAGGAGAGAAAAGUGGAAUUCCUAGUGUAGCGGUGAAAUGCGUAGAGAUUAGGAGGAACACCGGUGGCGAAAGCGGCUUUUUGGCCUGCAACUGACACUGAGGCGCGAAAGCGUGGGGAGCAAACAGG